AGAACGAACGCUGGCGGCGUGGAUAAGACAUGCAAGUCGAACGCGAUUUAUCAGGUUAGCAAUAACUUGGUAAAUUGAGUGGCGAAAGGGUGCGUAACACGUGGGAAUUUACCGAAAAGUGGGGAAUAGCUCGGCGAAAGCCGAAUUAAUACCGCAUGUGGUCGCAAGACCAAAGCCGGGGACCGCAAGGCCUGGCGCUUUUUGAGAAGCCCGCGGCCCAUCAGCUAGUUGGUGAGGUAAUGGCUCACCAAGGCUAUGACGGGUAGCUGGUCUGAGAGGACGACCAGCCACACUGGAACUGAGACACGGUCCAGACACCUACGGGUAGCAGCAGUCGAGAAUUUUUCACAAUGGGGGC
RNAcentral lists this ribosomal RNA (358 nucleotides) under uncultured bacterium. Its description in RNAcentral is "SSU rRNA". It matches the Rfam family "Bacterial small subunit ribosomal RNA", at positions 26 to 378 of the family's 1533-position model. The record is from RNAcentral.